RNAcentral lists this non-coding RNA (21 nucleotides) under Arabidopsis thaliana (thale cress). The record is from RNAcentral. Lineage: Eukaryota; Viridiplantae; Streptophyta; Magnoliopsida; Brassicales; Brassicaceae.
UACAUCAGUGUAGCGCGCGUG